GACGAACCGUGCGAACGUUGUUCGGAAUCACUGGGCAUAAAGGGCGCGUAGGCGGCUUAUCAAGUCAGGGGUGAAAUCCGGCAGCUCAACUGUCGAAGUGCCUUUGAUACUGAUGAGCUCGAGGGAGGUAGGGGUCUGUGGAACUUCCGGUGGAGCGGUGAAAUGCGCAGAUAUCAGGAAGAACACCCGUGGCGAAAGCGGCUCUCUGGAACGGUACUGACGCUGAGACGCGAAAGCGUGGGGAGCGAACAGG
RNAcentral lists this ribosomal RNA (253 nucleotides) under uncultured bacterium. RNAcentral describes it as "partial 16S ribosomal RNA". It matches the Rfam family "Bacterial small subunit ribosomal RNA", at positions 524 to 776 of the family's 1533-position model. The record is from RNAcentral.